UCCCUCAUAGUGAGGAGUCCCACCCAUACCAGGGCUCCCACCUGGAAGCCAGGAUUCACCUUCCUCUGCUCCUACCCAGGCCCAACAAUGCCCCACCUGCCCUCUAUCAUUAAUUCCACACCUUUGCAUAGUCCUUCAUGUUUCACAGAUUGACAGCUUAAUCCAAAAUGCUUAAUCUUUCAACAUUAUCAUCCCCAUUACACAGAUGGAAAAGCAGAGGUUCAGAGAGGUUAAGUGACUUGCCAAAGAUUUCACAGCUAUGACAUAGCAUAGCUGGGAUUUGAACCCAAGUUCUCUGGCCUCAAAUGUCAGCCACUCUCCAAUGCUCUGCCUCCCCCUCUGAGGACCACUCAGUUGCUAGGAGACAACAAGCCAGUGGUUACUAUGGGAACUGGGCUGAUGUGGAAAGAGUCGGUGUCCAGGCCGCAGUGGGAAGGCUCCAGGAACAACACAGAGGCUUCACUCUGGAUGACAAACGAGAUGGGGAGAGGCCUGCCCUGCCUGGACUCCGGGUCUCAGCCAUGACCUGUAAGCAAGAUGACCUAGAGCAAAUCUCUGUUCUGGGGAUUUGCAAAUCUCCCCAGUGGUUCAUGCCCAGACCUGGAAUCCUGGCUCACCUUGGUAAGCCGUCAACCUCUGCAUGCCUCAGGAUCCUCAUCUGCAAAAUGGACACACCCGUAGGCUUAGUGGAGCCAGUGCAUGUAAUCACUUA
This is a long non-coding RNA of Eptesicus fuscus (big brown bat), 712 nucleotides long. RefSeq lists it as uncharacterized. Lineage: Eukaryota; Metazoa; Chordata; Mammalia; Chiroptera; Vespertilionidae. The record is from RefSeq and is a predicted model, not a curated record. The transcript has 3 exons.